RNAcentral lists this ribosomal RNA (497 nucleotides) under uncultured bacterium. RNAcentral's name for it is "partial 16S ribosomal RNA". It matches the Rfam family "Bacterial small subunit ribosomal RNA", at positions 28 to 507 of the family's 1533-position model. The record is from RNAcentral.
GAUGAACGCUGGCGGCGUGCCUAAUACAUGCAAGUCGAGCGAACAGACGAGGAGCUUGCUCCUCUGACGUUAGCGGCGGACGGGUGAGUAACACGUGGAUAACCUACCUAUAAGACUGGGAUAACUUCGGGAAACCGGAGCUAAUACCGGAUAAUAUAUUGAACCGCAUGGUUCAAUAGUGAAAGACGGUUUUGCUGUCACUUAUAGAUGGAUCCGCGCCGCAUUAGCUAGUUGGUAAGGUAACGGCUUACCAAGGCAACGAUGCGUAGCCGACCUGAGAGGGUGAUCGGCCACACUGGAACUGAGACACGGUCCAGACUCCUACGGGAGGCAGCAGUAGGGAAUCUUCCGCAAAGGGCGAAAGCCUGACGGAGCAACGCCGCAUGAGUGAUGAAGGUCUUCGGAUCGUAAAACUCUGUUAUUAGGGAAGAACAAAUGUGUAAGUAACUAUGCACGUCUUGACGGUACCUAAUCAGAAAGCCACGGCUAACUACGUG